GGUCUGGGAAGGCGUGAAGUCCUCCUCCCCCACCACCACUCCCACGCCAGUGCUGGGAGCCGGGGGCUGCGGGGAGGGCUUGGGGCAGGCCCGGUGCUGGGACCAAGGCUACUGAGGGAGACGGGCGGGGCUGUGCAGAGCCACCGGCACCUGGGCGGGAGGCUUGGGCCUGCCCUGUAGGGUCAGCAAGAGGUCCAAGUAGAAGGAGAACGUGCCCGGAUCUGCGUUUCCAGAAGAUGCAACCUGCUGCAGGGUAGAAGACAGAAGAGGGGGGCAGUGAGUGGCACUGGUGGCACCAGGAGACAGGCUCUGACCUGAGAGCAGGCCCCCAGUGGAGCCCUGCUGGCAGCUUCAAAACACGA
Molecule: long non-coding RNA, 362 nt
Organism: Leopardus geoffroyi (Geoffroy's cat)
Lineage: Eukaryota; Metazoa; Chordata; Mammalia; Carnivora; Felidae
Exons: 2
Source: RefSeq, a predicted model, not a curated record